Molecule: ribosomal RNA, 334 nt
Filed under: Sulfuritalea sp.
Lineage: Bacteria; Pseudomonadati; Pseudomonadota; Betaproteobacteria; Nitrosomonadales; Sterolibacteriaceae
Description: bacterial SSU rRNA
Rfam family: Bacterial small subunit ribosomal RNA
Source: RNAcentral
GAACUGAAGAGUUUGAUCCUGGCUCAGAUUGAACGCUGGCGGAAUGCUUUACACAUGCAAGUCGAGCGGCAGCGCGGGGGCAACCCCGGCGGCGAGCGGCGAACGGGUGAGUAAUGUAUCGGAACGUACCCAGUCGUGGGGGAUAACUAUCCGAAAGGAUAGCUAAUACCGCAUACGUCCUGAGGGAGAAAGCGGGGGACCGUAAGGCCUCGCGCGAUUGGAGCGGCCGAUAUCGGAUUAGCUAGUUGGUGAGGUAAAGGCUCACCAAGGCGACGAUCCGUAGCUGGUCUGAGAGGACGACCAGCCACACUGGAACUGAGACACGGUCCAGACU